CGGAACGGGUGAGUAACGCGUGAGGAACCUGCCUCAAAGAGGGGGACAACAGUUGGAAACGACUGCUAAUACCGCAUAAGCCCACAGGUCGGCAUCGACCAGAGGGAAAAGGAGCAAUCCGCUUUGAGAUGGCCUCGCGUCCGAUUAGCUAGUUGGUGAGGUAACGGCCCACCAAGGCGACGAUCGGUAGCCGGACUGAGAGGUUGAACGGCCACAUUGGGACUGAGACACGGCCCAG
RNAcentral lists this ribosomal RNA (238 nucleotides) under uncultured bacterium. Its description in RNAcentral is "partial 16S ribosomal RNA". It matches the Rfam family "Bacterial small subunit ribosomal RNA", at positions 100 to 334 of the family's 1533-position model. The record is from RNAcentral.